RNAcentral lists this ribosomal RNA (273 nucleotides) under uncultured bacterium. Its description in RNAcentral is "partial 16S ribosomal RNA". It matches the Rfam family "Bacterial small subunit ribosomal RNA", at positions 523 to 796 of the family's 1533-position model. The record is from RNAcentral.
AUACGGAGGGGGCUAGCGUUGUUCGGAAUUACUGGGCGUAAAGCGUACGUAGGCGGACUGAUCAGUUGGGGGUGAAAUCCCAGGGCUUAACCCUGGAACUGCCUUCAAUACUGUCAGUCCUGAGUUUGGGAGAGGUGAGUGGAAUUCCUAGUGUAGAGGUGAAAUUCAUAGAUAUUAGGAGGAACACCAGUGGCGAAGGCGGCUCACUGGCCCAUUACUGACGCUGAGGUACGAAAGCGUGGGGAGCAAACAGGAUUAGAAACCCCAGAGUCC